Molecule: ribosomal RNA, 500 nt
Filed under: uncultured bacterium
Lineage: Bacteria
Description: partial 16S ribosomal RNA
Rfam family: Bacterial small subunit ribosomal RNA
Source: RNAcentral
GACGAACGCUGGCGGCGUGCCUAAUACAUGCAAGUCGUGCGGACCUUGUUGAAAGCUUGCUUUUAAAAGGUUAGCGGCGGACGGGUGAGUAACACGUGGGCAACCUGCCUGUAAGACUGGGAUAAGGCCGGGAAACCGGGGCUAAUACCAGAUCGUUUUUUCCUCCGCAUGGAGGAAAAAGGAAAGGCGGCUUCGGCUGCCACUUACAGAUGGGCCCGCGGCGCAUUAGCUAGUUGGCGGGGUAAUGGCCCACCAAGGCAACGAUGCGUAGCCGACCUGAGAGGGUGAUCGGCCACAUUGGGACUGAGACACGGCCCAAACUCCUACGGGAGGCAGCAGUAGGGAAUCUUCCGCAAUGGACGAAAGUCUGACGGAGCAACGCCGCGUGAGUGAAGAAGGCCUUCGGGUCGUAAAACUCUGUUGCCGGGGAAGAACAAGUGCCGUUCGAACAGGGCGGCGCCUUGACGGUACCCGGCCAGAAAGCCACGGCUAACUACGUG